RNAcentral lists this ribosomal RNA (429 nucleotides) under Verrucomicrobiota bacterium. Its description in RNAcentral is "Verrucomicrobia bacterium partial 16S ribosomal RNA". It matches the Rfam family "Bacterial small subunit ribosomal RNA", at positions 355 to 776 of the family's 1533-position model. Lineage: Bacteria; Pseudomonadati; Verrucomicrobiota. The record is from RNAcentral.
UGGGGAAUCUUCCGCAAUGGGCGAAAGCCUGACGGAGCAACGCCGCGUGAGUGAAGACGGCCUUCGGGUUGUAAAACUCUGUGAUUCGGGACGAAAGAUAAGCAGACGAAUAAUCUGCAUAAGUGACGGUACCGAAAAAGCAAGCCACGGCUAACUACGUGCCAGCAGCCGCGGUAAUACGUAGGUGGCAAGCGUUGUCCGGAAUUAUUGGGCGUAAAGCGCGCGCAGGCGGCUACUUAAGUCCAUCUUAAAAGUGCGGGGCUUAACCCCGUGAUGGGAUGGAAACUGAGAAGCUGGAGUGUCGGGGAGGAAAGUGGAAUUCCUAGUGUAGCGGUGAAAUGCGUAGAGAUUAGGAAGAACACCGGUGGCGAAGGCGACUUUCUGGGCGACAACUGACGCUUAGGCGCGAAAGCGUGGGGAGCAAACAGG